This 2773-nucleotide ribosomal RNA is filed under the name Escherichia coli. Its description in RNAcentral is "bacterial LSU rRNA". It matches the Rfam family "Bacterial large subunit ribosomal RNA". Lineage: Bacteria; Pseudomonadati; Pseudomonadota; Gammaproteobacteria; Enterobacterales; Enterobacteriaceae. The record is from RNAcentral.
AGCGUACACGGUGGAUGCCCUGGCAGUCAGAGGCGAUGAAGGACGUGCUAAUCUGCGAUAAGCGUCGGUGAGGUGAUAUGAACCGUUAUAACCGGCGAUUUCCGAAUGGGGAAACCCAGUGUGUUUCGACACACUAUCAUUAACUGAAUCCAUAGGUUAAUGAGGCGAACCGGGGGAACUGAAACAUCUAAGUACCCCGAGGAAAAGAAAUCAACCGAGAUUCCCCCAGUAGCGGCGAGCGAACGGGGAGGAGCCCAGAGCCUGAAUCAGUGUGUGUGUUAGUGGAAGCGUCUGGAAAGGCGCGCGAUACAGGGUGACAGCCCCGUACACAAAAAUGCACAUAUUGUGAGCUCGAUGAGUAGGGCGGGACACGUGGUAUCCUGUCUGAAUAUGGGGGGACCAUCCUCCAAGGCUAAAUACUCCUGACUGACCGAUAGUGAACCAGUACCGUGAGGGAAAGGCGAAAAGAACCCCGGCGAGGGGAGUGAAAAAGAACCUGAAACCGUGUACGUACAAGCAGUGGGAGCCUCUUAAUGGGGUGACUGCGUACCUUUUGUAUAAUGGGUCAGCGACUUAUAUUCUGUAGCAAGGUUAACCGAAUAGGGGAGCCGAAGGGAAACCGAGUCUUAACUGGGCGUUAAGUUGCAGGGUAUAGACCCGAAACCCGGUGAUCUAGCCAUGGGCAGGUUGAAGGUUGGGUAACACUAACUGGAGGACCGAACCGACUAAUGUUGAAAAAUUAGCGGAUGACUUGUGGCUGGGGGUGAAAGGCCAAUCAAACCGGGAGAUAGCUGGUUCUCCCCGAAAGCUAUUUAGGUAGCGCCUCGUGAAUUCAUCUCCGGGGGUAGAGCACUGUUUCGGCAAGGGGGUCAUCCCGACUUACCAACCCGAUGCAAACUGCGAAUACCGGAGAAUGUUAUCACGGGAGACACACGGCGGGUGCUAACGUCCGUCGUGAAGAGGGAAACAACCCAGACCGCCAGCUAAGGUCCCAAAGUCAUGGUUAAGUGGGAAACGAUGUGGGAAGGCCCAGACAGCCAGGAUGUUGGCUUAGAAGCAGCCAUCAUUUAAAGAAAGCGUAAUAGCUCACUGGUCGAGUCGGCCUGCGCGGAAGAUGUAACGGGGCUAAACCAUGCACCGAAGCUGCGGCAGCGACACUAUGUGUUGUUGGGUAGGGGAGCGUUCUGUAAGCCUGUGAAGGUGGCCUGUGAGGGGUGCUGGAGGUAUCAGAAGUGCGAAUGCUGACAUAAGUAACGAUAAAGCGGGUGAAAAGCCCGCUCGCCGGAAGACCAAGGGUUCCUGUCCAACGUUAAUCGGGGCAGGGUGAGUCGACUCCUAAGGCGAGGCCGAAAGGCGUAGUCGAUGGGAAACAGGUUAAUAUUCCUGUACUUGGUGUUACUGCGAAGGGGGGACGGAGAAGGCUAUGUUGGCCGGGCGACGGUUGUCCCGGUUUAAGCGUGUAGGCUGGUUUUCCAGGCAAAUCCGGAAAACCAAGGCUGAGGCGUGAUGACGAGGCACUACGGUGCUGAAGUGACAAAUGCCCUGCUUCCAGGAAAAGCCUCUAAGCAUCAGGUAACAUCAAAUCGUACCCCAAACCGACACAGGUGGUCAGGUAGAGAAUACCAAGGCGCUUGAGAGAACUCGGGUGAAGGAACUAGGCAAAAUGGUGCCGUAACUUCGGGAGAAGGCACGCUGAUAUGUAGGUGAAGCGACUUGCUCGUGGAGCUGAAAUCAGUCGAAGAUACCAGCUGGCUGCAACUGUUUAUUAAAAACACAGCACUGUGCAAACACGAAAGUGGACGUAUACGGUGUGACGCCUGCCCGGUGCCGGAAGGUUAAUUGAUGGGGUUAGCGGUAACGCGAAGCUCUUGAUCGAAGCCCCGGUAAACGGCGGCCGUAACUAUAACGGUCCUAAGGUAGCGAAAUUCCUUGUCGGGUAAGUUCCGACCUGCACGAAUGGCGUAAUGAUGGCCAGGCUGUCUCCACCCGAGACUCAGUGAAAUUGAACUCGCUGUGAAGAUGCAGUGUACCCGCGGCAAGACGGAAAGACCCCGUGAACCUUUACUAUAGCUUGACACUGAACAUUGAGCCUUGAUGUGUAGGAUAGGUGGGAGGCUUUGAAGUGUGGACGCCAGUCUGCAUGGAGCCGACCUUGAAAUACCACCCUUUAAUGUUUGAUGUUCUAACGUUGGCCCGUAAUCCGGGUUGCGGACAGUGUCUGGUGGGUAGUUUGACUGGGGCGGUCUCCUCCUAAAGAGUAACGGAGGAGCACGAAGGUUGGCUAAUCCUGGUCGGACAUCAGGAGGUUAGUGCAAUGGCAUAAGCCAGCUUGACUGCGAGCGUGACGGCGCGAGCAGGUGCGAAAGCAGGUCAUAGUGAUCCGGUGGUUCUGAAUGGAAGGGCCAUCGCUCAACGGAUAAAAGGUACUCCGGGGAUAACAGGCUGAUACCGCCCAAGAGUUCAUAUCGACGGCGGUGUUUGGCACCUCGAUGUCGGCUCAUCACAUCCUGGGGCUGAAGUAGGUCCCAAGGGUAUGGCUGUUCGCCAUUUAAAGUGGUACGCGAGCUGGGUUUAGAACGUCGUGAGACAGUUCGGUCCCUAUCUGCCGUGGGCGCUGGAGAACUGAGGGGGGCUGCUCCUAGUACGAGAGGACCGGAGUGGACGCAUCACUGGUGUUCGGGUUGUCAUGCCAAUGGCACUGCCCGGUAGCUAAAUGCGGAAGAGAUAAGUGCUGAAAGCAUCUAAGCACGAAACUUGCCCCGAGAUGAGUUCU